Molecule: ribosomal RNA, 253 nt
Filed under: uncultured bacterium
Lineage: Bacteria
Description: partial 16S ribosomal RNA
Rfam family: Bacterial small subunit ribosomal RNA
Source: RNAcentral
UACGAAGGUCCCGAGCGUUGUUCGGAAUCACUGGGCGUAAAGGGAGCGUAGGCUGCGCGGUAAGUCAGGUGUGAAAUCCCGGGGCUCAACCCCGGAACUGCACCCGAUACUGCCGUGCUUGAGGGUUGGAGAGGUAGCUGGAAUUCUCGGUGUAGCAGUGAAAUGCGUGGAUAUCGAGAGGAACACUCGUGGCGAAGGCGAGCUACUGGACAACAUCUGACGCUGAGGCUCGAAGGCCAGGGGAGUAAAAGGG